GGCAAGGUGGCCGAGCGGUCUAAGGCGCCAGACUAAGGAGACCACAUCAUUGGAUGAUGCAUAUCAAUCUGGUCCUUCGGGGCGCGAGUUCGAAUCUCGCCCUUGUCA
This 108-nucleotide transfer RNA is filed under the name Serpula lacrymans var. lacrymans S7.3. It matches the Rfam family "tRNA". From Rfam's summary of the family: Transfer RNA (tRNA) molecules are approximately 80 nucleotides in length. Their secondary structure includes four short double-helical elements and three loops (D, anti-codon, and T loops). Lineage: Eukaryota; Fungi; Basidiomycota; Agaricomycetes; Boletales; Serpulaceae. The record is from Rfam by way of RNAcentral.